This 2096-nucleotide long non-coding RNA is filed under the name Gossypium barbadense (sea-island cotton). RNAcentral describes it as "long non-coding RNA (GBAR_LNC019765)". The record is from RNAcentral. Lineage: Eukaryota; Viridiplantae; Streptophyta; Magnoliopsida; Malvales; Malvaceae.
UUUAUGCAAUGUUAUUUAUAAAAUCAUGGCUAAGACUAUAGCAAACAGAUUUAGAGAUGUUAUUGAUAAAUACAUUGAUAGCGCGCAAAGUGCCUUUGUUCCAAGAAGAUUAAUCUCAGAUAAUGUACUACUAGCUUAUGAAUUACUGCAUACACUAAAACAGAAGAGAAUGGGAGAAAAGGGUUAUAUGGCAAUAAAACUGGACUUGAGUAAAGCUUAUGACAGGGUUGAAUGGAAAUUUGUUAGGGAGAUAAUGUUGCAGAUGGGAUUUGCUCAAAAUUGUGUCGAUUCUAUCAUGAAUUGCAUGUCUACUAUUUCUUAUCAAGUUGUGCUCAAUGGAAGUAUUGGAGAAACUUUUCGUCCAACCAGGAGACUUCAACAAGGUGACCCAUUGAGUUCGUUUCUUUUUCUAAUAUGUGGAGAGGGAUUACCUAGUCUCAUGAGAAUAGCUACAAAAGAAGGAAUUUUAAAAGGAGUCAAGGCAAGUAGAAGCGGCCCACAAGUGUCACAUUUAUUAUUUACAAACGACUGUAUUUUAUUCAGAGAAAGCUUCAAAAAAAGGAGCUUUAGUAUUCAAGGAGAUCCUACGUGAGUAUAAACAAUGUUCGGGUCAAUGUGUAAAUUUUGAUAAAUCAACUUUCUUUAGUAAAAACAUGCUGGAGGAAGAAAGACAAUUAGUCGUCAACUUGUUGGGAGUUUGGAGUUCAGAUGAGCCAGAACGAUAUCUAGGUUUGCCAAACAUGGUAGGUCGAAGAAAGGAGUCUUUUCGAGCUCUAAAAGAUAGAUUAAAGCAGCAUAUUGAAAACUAGAGUAUUCGAUUUCUAUCGCAAGGUGGAAAAUAAGUAUUCAUUAAGGCUGUCCUACAAGCCGUACCGACAUAUUCAAUGGCUUGCUUUUUACUCCCAAAGUCACUAUGCGAUAAAAUGGAAGGCAUUGUUGCGAAAUAUUGAUGGCAAAAUGGUCGUGGAAAGGGGGAAUUCACUGGUGUACUUGGAAAAAUCUUUGCAUUUUAAAAGAAAACAGAGGGUUAGGUUUUCAAAAUCUUAGCCAGAAUAAUAUUGCGUUGUUAGCCAAACAGGGCUGGUAACUUUUUAAUUAUCCAAAUUCUCUUUUAGCCAGAGUUCUUAAAGCUAAAUAUUAUCCACGUUCUGACUUUCUAAAUGCAUAGUUGGGAAACUUACCAUCUCUUACCUGGAAGAGCAUUUGGGCAACGAAGGGUCUCCUUCUUAAAAAACUAAGCUGGAGAGUUGGAAGAGGAAAUGCAAUCUCUAUUUGGAUUGAUCGAUGGAUACCAGGGAUUGAACCUGAGUCAUGGCACAACAGAGGAGGCAAUGGUGAGCUGGAACUAGUAUCAGAUCUAAUUGACAGUACAACUAAUAUGUGGAAAACAAAGAUAAUUACAACUACCUUCCAAAUGGACAUUGCUCAAAGAACAUUGCAGAUUCCUCUUGCGAUAACAAACUGUGAAGACAUGCAAGUGUGGAAAGGUGAACACUCUGGCGAGUUUUCAGUACGAAGCGCCUACAAACUAUUACAAAAUGCUAGCUUGGAUCCUAGUAGUUAUUUAGUACAGGCCGAAACUAAAGAUUUCUACAGGAAGUUAUGGAAUUUACAACUACCAUCAAAAAUUUUAAUUCUUAUAUGGCGGAUUUCCUGGAUCUAUAUCCCUACACUAGUUAAUCUUAGAUACAAGAGAGUGAUUACAAAUACUAGUUGGCUUCGAUGCUGCUCCAAAGAAGAAAACAGCUACCACGUGUUUCGGCAAUGUCCUACAAGCAUUGAUGCUUGGAAUAGUCUUAAUAUGACUUCGGUAACAGCACACACAGAUCAAAAUACAUGGACAUGGCUCACCUGGGUUUUUAGAAGGGGUACAAAGGAGCAGAUCCUAAUGUUCUGCUGCGCCUUAUGGGUUAUUUGGGGCUCGCGGAAUCAGAUGGUUCAUGAGAGGAAAAUCACAUCAGGAAAGGACCUUUCACACAAAAUACAGAGCUAUUUAUUAGAACUUGAAGGAGUGCGUGAAAAAAAGCUUACCUUUACGUCCACUAGAAAUCAAGGACGAGGGGAGUCAAUGAGGGAUAUAAUACAGUUCGACGCAG